UCUGCCCCCUGCACUUCGGGAUAAGCCUGGGAAACUGGGUCUAAUACUGGAUAGGACCGCACUUUAGUGUGUGUGGUGGAAAGUUUUUCGGUGUAGGAUGAGCCCGCGGCCUAUCAGCUUGUUGGUGGGGUAAUGGCCUACCAAGGCGUCGACGGGUAGCCGGACUGAGAGGUUGAACGGCCACAUUGGGACUGAGAUACGGCCCAGACUCCUACGGGGAGGCAGCAGUGGGGAAUAUUGCACAAUGGGGCGCAAGCCUGAUGCAGCGACGCCGCGUGGGGGAUGACGGCCUUCGGGUUGUAAACUCCUUUCGCCAGGGACGAAGCGUUUUGUGACGGUACCUGGAUAAGAAGCACCGGCUAACUACGUGC
This 371-nucleotide ribosomal RNA is filed under the name uncultured Corynebacterium sp. RNAcentral describes it as "bacterial SSU rRNA". It matches the Rfam family "Bacterial small subunit ribosomal RNA", at positions 125 to 508 of the family's 1533-position model. Lineage: Bacteria; Bacillati; Actinomycetota; Actinomycetes; Mycobacteriales; Corynebacteriaceae. The record is from RNAcentral.